UCAAACGUAAUGAACUGAUGAGUCAUGAAGAAACGGGCUGGAGAAGAAAUCUCGAACUUUUCCUUCAGGCGUAUCCAUGUUCGACAUCAUCGUUUUGUCUAAAUUAGUUCAUCUUUUUCUACAACUGCCUGUUUUAGAAACAAAACUUGAAAGGCAUUGUAAGAUAAAAACUGAAUCAGCUAAAGAAUCCCAUGAAUCGACUGAUGGUUAGUGAUAACCACCGCCCAUGAAGAGCUUUGCAGAGGAUCCAUAAUGGAUUGCCAACUUAAAAAGGAUACGAGGCAUGAUGCAUCGAUUUUAAUUUAUCAGCAUUGUUAGCAUGAAGCACUAAUACUUCAACUACGAUCUUCGAAACUUCGAUGCGACAAAUCGCUUAGAAAAAGUGAUUAAACGAAACGGACGCGACGAAGUAAUCAAGAAAUUCACGAAAUAGUUGAAUGGAAAAAGUUUAAAUAGGUGGAUUCGUUGCUGAAAUAAAUCCUUCUCGGUUUCAUAA
Molecule: long non-coding RNA, 496 nt
Organism: Colias croceus (clouded yellow)
Lineage: Eukaryota; Metazoa; Arthropoda; Insecta; Lepidoptera; Pieridae
Exons: 3
Source: RefSeq, a predicted model, not a curated record